AUAUCUUCUCGGCUUUUUAGCUAAGAUCAUGUUUAUAAACUGUUCUUAUCAGAGUAACUCCUGAUAUUGCCUUCGGGCAAAGGAAUACAAAUGAUCGCACUAGGUUGUUUCCCUGGAGUUCCACCUUUCCAGGGGAGCAACU
Molecule: small nuclear RNA, 142 nt
Filed under: Crithidia fasciculata
Lineage: Eukaryota; Euglenozoa; Kinetoplastea; Trypanosomatida; Trypanosomatidae
Description: U2 spliceosomal RNA
Rfam family: U2 spliceosomal RNA
About the family: U2 is a small nuclear RNA (snRNA) component of the spliceosome (involved in pre-mRNA splicing). Complementary binding between U2 snRNA (in an area lying towards the 5' end but 3' to hairpin I) and the branchpoint sequence (BPS) of the intron results the bulging out of an unpaired adenosine, on the BPS, which initiates a nucleophilic attack at the intronic 5' splice site, thus starting the first of two transesterification reactions that mediate splicing.
Source: Rfam by way of RNAcentral